This 221-nucleotide ribosomal RNA is filed under the name uncultured Methanosaeta sp. RNAcentral describes it as "partial 16S ribosomal RNA". It matches the Rfam family "Archaeal small subunit ribosomal RNA", at positions 1117 to 1338 of the family's 1478-position model. Lineage: Archaea; Methanobacteriati; Methanobacteriota; Methanomicrobia; Methanotrichales; Methanotrichaceae. The record is from RNAcentral.
GACGGAGGGAAGGAAUGGGCAACGGUAGGUCAGUAUGCCCCGAAUAUCCCGGGCUACACGCGAGCUACAAUGGUUGGUACAAUGGGUAUCUACCCCGAAAGGGGACGGGAAUCUCCUAAACCAAUCUUAGUUCGGAUUGAGGGCUGCAACUCGCCCUCAUGAAGCUGGAAUCCGUAGUAAUCGCGUUUCAACAGAACGCGGUGAAUACGUCCCUGCUCCUU